Molecule: ribosomal RNA, 465 nt
Filed under: uncultured bacterium
Lineage: Bacteria
Description: partial 16S ribosomal RNA
Rfam family: Bacterial small subunit ribosomal RNA
Source: RNAcentral
GACGAACGCUGGCGGCGUGCUUAACACAUGCAAGUCGAACGGAAAGGCCCUGCUUGCUGGGUACUCGAGUGGCGAACGGGUGAGUAACACGUGGGUGAUCUGCCCUGCACUUCGGGUUACGCCUGGGAAACUGGGUCUAAUACCGGAUAGGAGCCAUUUUUAGUGUGAUGGUUGGAAAGUUUUUUCGGUGUAGGAUGAGCUUGCGGCCUAUCAGCUUGUUGGUGGGGUAAUGGCCUACCAAGGCGGCGACGGGUAGCCGGACUGAGAGGGUGGACGGCCACAUUGGGACUGAGAGACGGCCCAGACUCCUACGGGAGGCAGCAGUGGGGAAUAUUGCACAAGGGGCGCAAGCCUGAUGCAGCGACGCCGCGUGGGGGAUGACGGCCUUCGGGUUGUAAACUCCUUUCGCUAGGGACGAAGCUUUUUGUGACGGUACCUAGAUAAGAAGCACCGGCUAACUACGUG